UCUCAAGGCUGUAAUUGUCCAAAAGCUUUCUAUGUGAAAAAAAAGGAUGUAUAUUAGUCAUAUGAAAUCUUUGAGCUAUAGGAUCUUUCUUAAUUUCUAAAUGAACCUUUUCCAGUUUAAGUAAUUUGCAGGGGCGAGGGGCAUGGAUUGUCACCUUUUCCAUUUUUUUCCUCAGAAGGAAUUGCUCUUUUUCCCUUUAGAAGGAAAUGAGUAGACAGAACAAAUACAGAAGACCCCAAAUAUCGAAAUCAGUAGUUUUAAAUUACAUAGAGUCAAACUUCUUAAGAUAUAAUUCUACCUGUAUUGCUGAAAAUAGAGCUGAGAAAUCUUUAGUUCUUGGCUUUUUUCCCAUUUUUGUAAGCAUUGUUAUCACUUCCUCUAUUGUGAAGUGUCUAUUAUGCAAUCCUGUUGGGAAUAGCUUUUCCUUCACGAGCAGCUCAUCAUGCUGUCAGCACAGAGCUCCCUGGAGACCACAGCAAGACUCCAAAGGGGAGCAUGGGGAGGAAAAAAGGCCCAUUUCCCCCAAGGAAGGACAAGGUUCCAGCCCAGAAAACUGAGUCAUCUUGGCCACCUGCACUCGUGUGUCCACUUGGAGCCUCUUCUAUUCUGACAACUUUGCAUCUUUUUUUCUCUGGACCCAGAAACAAGUAUGUCCAAGAAUCCUCCAAGAAUUCACCAGACGCUCUCCCCUGGUCAGAGAGCCAAUGCUCACCCGACUGAGUUCAAAACAACCUUGACCUUGGGUUUUGUUUUUGCAGAUGAAAAAAAAAAAAAAUGUGCCUUCAAAAGCACACCAGUGAAAUUCUUUCGUCAUACUUACAGUAUUUUUGUCCUCCGCUUUGAGUCAGAGGAGGCUUGCUAAAGGAAGAAGGAAAUCUAUUACACAGGCUCCCGGGAGUGAAGUCCCUCGGAGUCUGUAACUGCAGACUCGCAGUCCUCAGGGGGGGAAAUCCGGCAGUGGCACUAAGAUUUUGGUGACACCGUGUAUGUUCUUAAGACUUUGACUUCUGUCAGUCAGCACUACAGCCUAGAGAUCUUGCAACAAAAAGCAAGUUCCCAAUUCCUCCUACGGAUGCUCAGCGUCCUAACGUGGGUGUAGCAGCUUCCUACUAGCAGACGCUCCGGUUGUUUCUAUCACAAGAGCUGCUGCAGAAUGGAUGCAGGCAGAUCUUCAGGGCACACUGUCGGAGCGGGGAUGUGGGGUCCAACUGCUACCUGCCUUCAUGAGUCCUUUCCCAGCAAGAGUCCUCCUACAUCCAGCAGCUCAUGCCAAUAGGAGUUUCCACAAGUAAAGUCUGGGGCGGGGCUGCUUAUAAGGAUCCCAUGGCCGAGAGGGGACUGAGUUCUCGCAGGAUCCCGGGGGCAGAGCAGGCGCAGGCGCAGUUGCUGCUCCUGCACCAGAUCAAGGCUCUGGGUGCAGCGUCUCUGCACACGGCUCGCCCCCGCCAUCUUGAACAGAGUGAUGGGGGCGGAGCUUUUGCCGUUGUCGCCACCAUUUUGCACUAGGCAUCCUGUUGGGAAGAGCUGGAGGGAGGCCUUUGCACCGGGUGCCCUGGGAACCAGUGAACUAGACUCAGCGCAGAGAAAACAAGGUCAGACUAUCCUUUUUUAUCACCUAGGUUCUAUUUUUAUUCUCUGGGAAUUAUAAAUGGGCUUUUCUGGUGACAAACCCCUUCUCUGCCCUGUGUCUCCUCACUGUGUGGAUGGGAGAGGGCGCUGAGGGCCUGAGUCCUUUUCGGUGAGUGCUUCCUGCCGAGAAAGAGUGUCCGGUAACAUUGGGUGGAAGAGGGGAACUUCUUUUCAGGUCUGUUUGGUUGCCCACAGGCCUCGGCCUUGAGCAUACUCAUCCCUGGACGACCCCCAUUUGUGUAACCUUUGGGGGACAAAGGAACCCAGACAAUUUAAUGUCCCUGGCCCCUAUAUGGACAAGAGAAUAAUGCUCACAUGAGACAUUUUUCCUGAAAAUGCAGGUCUCUAGGCCUUUGACCCUGAUCCAAUGCUUGCUGUGGGGCCUGUCUCCCUGGCCACACUUGGGUAGUUUCUCAGAAGAGAAGCUUCGGGUCAGAGGGUCACAAGAGUGGUCCAGGGGUCUGUUACCCCAGGUCGUGUCUCUGGAGUUUGGGGCAGAAUAUUAGGUCCUGCUGGGUGACAGAGUUUCCAGCAAUGUGUAGGGAUCAGGGAUCCCAUAGGUGUAUACUCUAUGGCUUCACUGACUGCCCUGAUGUCCUGAACUAUCCAGUAUUCCCCAUUGGGUUUCCUUAUGGGAAGAAUGGGGUGUUAAAAGCUCAUUGGCCUGGUCUAAUAAAUAAGGCUCUGGUCAUUUAGGGUCUGUAUCA
Long non-coding RNA from Bos indicus x Bos taurus (hybrid cattle), 2336 nucleotides. The record is from Ensembl. Lineage: Eukaryota; Metazoa; Chordata; Mammalia; Artiodactyla; Bovidae.